GACGAACGCUGGCGGCGUGCUUAACACAUGCAAGUCGAACGGAAAGGCCCUGCUUUUGUGGGGUGCUCGAGUGGCGAACGGGUGAGUAACACGAGAGUAACCUGCCCUUGACUUUGGGAUAACUUCAGGAAACUGGGGCUAAUACCGGAUAGGAGCUCCUGCUGCAUGGUGGGGGUUGGAAAGUUUCGGCGGUUGGGGAUGGACUCGCGGCUUAUCAGCUUGUUGGUGGGGUAGUGGCUUACCAAGGCUUUGACGGGUAGCCGGCCUGAGAGGGUGACCGGCCACAUUGGUACUGAGAUACGGCCCAGACUCCUACGGGAGGCAGCAGUGGGGAAUAUUGCACAAUGGGCGGAAGCCUGAUGCAGCAACGCCGCGUGCGGGAUGACGGCCUUCGGGUUGUAAACCGCUUUCGCCUGUGACGAAGCGUGAGUGACGGUAAUGGGUAAAGAAGCACCGGCUAACUACGUG
Molecule: ribosomal RNA, 468 nt
Filed under: uncultured bacterium
Lineage: Bacteria
Description: partial 16S ribosomal RNA
Rfam family: Bacterial small subunit ribosomal RNA
Source: RNAcentral